Long non-coding RNA from Syngnathus acus (greater pipefish), 342 nucleotides. RefSeq lists it as uncharacterized. The transcript is spliced from 2 exons. The record is from RefSeq and is a predicted model, not a curated record. NCBI's taxonomy places the organism in Eukaryota, Metazoa, Chordata, Actinopteri, Syngnathiformes, Syngnathidae.
CAAGCAGGAGGCUCUUGAGGAGCCAUUUCAGUGAUGAGGACACUGAGGAAGAGUAGUCCUAAAUCAGAUGGCGACCGGGACGCGACACCAUCUGAUCAGAGGUGGACGGACCGCUGUGGCAUUGCUCUGAAGUAGCCGAGUUCUGAGGGAGACCCGCUUCCCUGGAGGCGUCGACCUGCGCAGCUUCAACGUGUGAAAUGGAUUUAUUUUAUGUUUUUUUAAAUUCACACCAGCGGUGUCCAAAUGUCUGUUUGAGGGCUGCAUACUGAAACAAAUUCAGAAUUCUUUGACACAAAUUCAUUAAAUCAAUCACGGAAUUUUGCCAUUCAUAUUUUGUGCUAC